CCUCUCUUGGGUUGUCUACAUCUAGGCAACACUUUUAGAAUGGCUAGAGAUCAUUUUGAAUAAUCUUAAUUUUCAUCUAUGCAUCUAAAAUUACUUGGGAGACGUGAUGGAGAUAGUUUACAGUAUAAUGCACCUUCGACUUGUGAAAUAGCAACAUUGAUUGUUGGGGAUUUAUGAUAGAUAGAUCAUCAGUGUGACAUUAUUGUUGAAUAUAGAAUAGAAGAAUUGAA
Molecule: long non-coding RNA, 230 nt
Filed under: Elaeis guineensis (African oil palm)
Lineage: Eukaryota; Viridiplantae; Streptophyta; Magnoliopsida; Arecales; Arecaceae
Description: long non-coding RNA (EGUI_LNC022919)
Source: RNAcentral